RNAcentral lists this non-coding RNA (594 nucleotides) under Mesobacillus campisalis. RNAcentral's name for it is "Bacillus campisalis Bacterial small subunit ribosomal RNA". It matches the Rfam family "Bacterial small subunit ribosomal RNA", at positions 1 to 578 of the family's 1533-position model. Lineage: Bacteria; Bacillati; Bacillota; Bacilli; Caryophanales; Bacillaceae. The record is from Rfam by way of RNAcentral.
UUAUUGGAGAGUUUGAUCCUGGCUCAGGACGAACGCUGGCGGCGUGCCUAAUACAUGCAAGUCGAGCGGACUUGAGGGAGCUUGCUCCCGAUGGUCAGCGGCGGACGGGUGAGUAACACGUGGGCAACCUGCCUGUAAGACUGGGAUAACUCCGGGAAACCGGGGCUAAUACCGGAUAAUGCAUUCCCUCACAUGAGGGAAUGCUGAAAGACGGCUUUUGCUGUCACUUACAGAUGGGCCCGCGGCGCAUUAGCUAGUUGGUGAGGUAACGGCUCACCAAGGCCACGAUGCGUAGCCGACCUGAGAGGGUGAUCGGCCACACUGGGACUGAGACACGGCCCAGACUCCUACGGGAGGCAGCAGUAGGGAAUCUUCCGCAAUGGACGAAAGUCUGACGGAGCAACGCCGCGUGAGCGAAGAAGGCCUUCGGGUCGUAAAGCUCUGUUGUCAGGGAAGAACAAGUACCGGAGUAACUGCCGGUACCUUGACGGUACCUGACCAGAAAGCCACGGCUAACUACGUGCCAGCAGCCGCGGUAAUACGUAGGUGGCAAGCGUUGUCCGGAAUUAUUGGGCGUAAAGCGCGCGCAGGCGG